ACGUACACUCCUGCGGGAGGCAGCAGUAGGGAAUCUUCCACAAUGGGUGCAAACCUGAUGGAGCAAUGCCGCGUGAGUGAAGAAGGUCUUCGGAUCGUAAAGCUCUGUUGUUAGAGAAGAACACGUGCUAGGUAACUACUAGCGCCUUGACGGUAUCUAACCAGAAAGUCACGGCUAACUACGUGCCAGCAGCCGCGGUAAUACGUAGGUGACAAGCGUUGUCCGGAUUUAUUGGGCGUAAAGGGAGCGCAGGCGGUCUGUUUAGUCUAAUGUGAAAGCCCACGGCUUAACCGUGGAACGGCAUUGGAAACUGACAGACUUGAAUGUAGAAGAGGAAAAUGGAAUUCCAAGUGUAGCGGUGGAAUGCGUAGAUAUUUGGAGGAACACCAGUGGCGAAGGCGAUUUUCUGGUCUAACAUUGACGCUGAGGCUCGAAAGCGUGGGGAGCGAACAGGAUUAGAAACCCUAGUAGUCCCAUGA
Molecule: ribosomal RNA, 479 nt
Filed under: uncultured organism
Description: partial 16S ribosomal RNA
Rfam family: Bacterial small subunit ribosomal RNA
Source: RNAcentral